AUUUUUCAAAAGAUGCGACAUCAUAGAUCCACAGCUUAAAUAAUUUCACGAUUUACUACGAUCAUUGAUGAUAUUAAGGUAGCCAUCGAUUCUCUACCCGACGUUCCUUCCACACAUGACAGGAAACAUCUACAGGCAUAGAGCAAAUGGCACUGAGCAGCAAUGUACAUCUGAUAAGGCAAGCUCCUGGAAGUGUCGAUCUGCAAAAAUACAAAGCGGGAGACAGAUCAUCAAAUUGAUCUACCUAUGGUUAAUGGCCGUCCUUGGAGACAGACAAUAAACUACGUAACAAUAUAUCAACCACCUUUUGAUAACAGAACGAAUUUAAAAUGAGAGCAAGACCCUUCCUUAUGGAGGGAGGGCCAAGAAACAUUUAAAAACGGAACAUUUUACUACUGACAGGUCUGAGCCACUGAAUAAAAUACAUUCCACCAGUCAAUAAAAUUUUAAAUUUUGAAUGUUGAUGGAUAACCUGAUUGCCAGUAUACAUUGAGUUGAAACCAGUUGAAACAUCUGAUACGUAGAGCGGUUCAUUCUUAUAGAAGCUUCCGAAGUAGUUCCAGAUAGGUACUUUAAAAUUAGACACCGGUCAAAUGUAGUACAAGAGAGGAAAUGGGUGCAACAAAACUUUAAUUGUCCUUGAUUCUUUUGUGAAAGGUGUGAAAGUGAAAAAUUAUUCAUUAAAUUACUUACUUGAGGUGAUGUGGUGAUGUGAGAGAUAAAUAUAACCUAACUUUUGUGAAGAUGUUCCUAGUUCCUGGAAUAAUCGUUCCUUGCCGAUACUUCCAGGGUUGUAUUUAUUAUCUAAAUAAUUAUCAGGCAAAUGUUUUCAAAAGGAUUAAAAUACAAAAACUGGCUUUCUAUAAUCAUUAUAGCGGCUGAUUUUCACUCAUUUUCAUACGCAACCUCGAUAAAAAGGCAAAAGGCGGAACCGCGGAAUGGUCCCUCGUCCAACUGUUCGAUGUCCAACUCGCACUCGGAACUCCGGCCGGACCAUUUUUCAAUUCAAUCCACCCAGCCAGCCAAGCCAUGCCAUGCCGUGAAUUUCAAAAUGAAAACUUAAUUUGAUCUACUUUUCAUGAUUCUUAACGAAGAAUCGAUUGUAUUAUCGGCGUCUACUUGACUAUACUCAGUUUCAUCGAACACAGAUCGACACUUCCAGGAGCUUGCCUUAUCAGAUGUACAUUGCUGCUCAGUGCCAUUUGCUCUAUGCCUGUAGAUGUUUCCUGUCAUGUGUGGAAGGAACGUCGGGUAGAGAAUCGAUGGCUACCUUAAUAUCAUCAAUGAUCGUAGUAAAUCGUGAAAUUAUUUAAGCUGUGGAUCUAUGAUGUCGCAUCUUUUGAAAAAUGCUUUCUCCUCUAAAACUAAACUGAAAAAUCGUGUUGUGUCAGUGCUUUUCUGAGAGUGGUGUUCUGUAUUGAUCAGCUAUUAAAUCAUGGUGCUAAUUUUUCUCUUACGUUAAAGAGUGCUUUAGAUAUUUUUACAAUGCACUCAUCGUGUUUUCAAAAGUUCCUUCGUACCUGCACCAGUUCUAAUCGGAAAUUUGGAUUCAUUGUCUUCAAGUGGAUUUUUCUGACCCAGUGGAUUACAGACUUGAGCGAGUUGGUGAGUGUUGUUUGUUCAUUUUCUAUUUUAUUGAGUAUGUCUGCAUGACAGAUGUCAUCCAUUAUUACUUUGCAUGAUGCAUAUUUAGCUGAAAGAUUCUCUUUACACAUGCCUAGUGGAAGAUACAUGUGGGUUUGGAACUGCUAACAUGCGAACUUUGAAAAACUACGCUGCUAUGAUAUAGAAAAUCCUACAAGUCCAAGAAGGUCUAUGCGCUGAUAUCAAUUACAUACUGACAUAUACCCGUCAAACAAGUUCCCAUGGCUGUCAUAGAUGGCCUGCCCACAAAGUAUGUCUGAAAGGGUGGCCCUAAUUUUCAUCAAGGAGCUUUGAGUACACCAUGUACUUUUUAAGAUUAUUGUGCUUAUUAUUGCUUUCACUUGAGUGUAGAUGUAAGUACAUACUAAGCUUUUAUCCAUCAUACAUUUUGGCACAUUUCUUUAAUUAUUGAGCUUCAUAAAAUUUCAGGUACUUGAUUUUCAGGGGCUGAGAUCGAAAUCAUAUCAUUAAAAAAAAUUGGUUCCAGCAAUUCUUUUCAAAUUCUUUACAAAAAAAUUUAGAGGAUUUAAUAACUGAAGAUAAAAACAUAACAUGCUAAACACUACCUUCUGAUGAAAAAGUACUUAAGUGAUGACCAAAA
Molecule: non-coding RNA, 2245 nt
Organism: Bemisia tabaci
Lineage: Eukaryota; Metazoa; Arthropoda; Insecta; Hemiptera; Aleyrodidae
Source: RefSeq, a predicted model, not a curated record